GCCUCUAGCAACACAUAAGUAUUAGAGGUAAUGCCUGCCCAGUGACACUGUUAAACGGCCGCGGUAUCCUAACCGUGCAAAGGUAGCGUAAUCACUUGUCUUUUAAAUAAAGACUAGAAUGAAUGGCCAAACGAGGUUCCACCUGUCUCUUACAAAUAAUCAGUGAAAUUGAUCUCCCCGUGCAAAAGCGGGAAUAACACUAUAAGACGAGAAGACCCUGUGGAACUUUAAAUACAAAUCAACUAUCAUACUCACCCACCCCAAGGACCUAUAACUAACUAAUACUUGACCUAUAUUUUUGGUUGGGGCGACCUCGGAGUAAAACGAAACCUCCGAAAAAAGAACAUACUUCUUAACCCAGACCCACAAUUCAAAGUGCUAACGGCAAAAUGAUCCAAUAUAUUUGAUCAACGAACCAAGCUACCCCAGGGAUAACAGCGCAAUCCCAUCCUAGAGUUCUUAUCGACGAUGGGGUUUACGACCUCGAUGUUGGAUCAGGACAUCCUGAUGGUGCAACCGCUAUCAAGGGUUCGUUUGUUCAACGAUUAACAGUCCCACGUGAU
Molecule: ribosomal RNA, 563 nt
Filed under: Natator depressus (flatback sea turtle)
Lineage: Eukaryota; Metazoa; Chordata; Testudines; Cheloniidae
Description: partial 16S ribosomal RNA
Rfam family: Bacterial large subunit ribosomal RNA
Source: RNAcentral